CAUGGUGGCAACAUACAUCAAAGCUCUAAUGCUAUGCGAUUAUCAAUUUUUCCAUAACACUUAAGCANUUAAAUAAAAGCCCAUGAAUGGUUUUAUUUUCUGUAAUUAAUGACAGUAUUGUUUCUAGGUCUAUCNACUAAUCACCAUGUUUUAGGGAAGUUUUAUGCAUAGCUAACAGCCAUGAACGACAUUGCUUUGCCAUUGAUGAGGUUGGCAUCUCUCUCAUCCCACCUGUCAGACAUACGGCUGCUAAUGGGAUAAUGAGCAUCGAGCAAUGGCUGAACCUUCUACCAUUUACUCAACUGUGAGGCUUUUUUGACCUUUAUGGUCCUGGAAAUUUUGAAGUUUCUGAUGAAGAUCGGUUGCAUUCCUUUACAAACUCAUAUUCUUUGGGCAUUGAUUUAAUCAAAGACUACAGAAAGAAGUACCUUCUGUCUCAUAAAUCUGCUUCUCGAUACAAUUUUUAUAAGGCUUUUUCAGGGUUGUAGUUUUUACUUCACAAAGCUGAUGUUAUGCAAGAAAAUGGUUCAAAGUUCCCCCUUUCAAAUCAACUCAAAUCUGUUAAUGAUCUGUUGUCAUCAUUGCAAAAGAUGGAACUAAAUUCNUGGCCUGCUUUGCUUGAUGAUGUGAUGGAUCAGUAUGAGAAUAAUGCAGCCAAAGUGUUCUCCUCAAGGCAUCUUCCAUCAUGUGGUCAUUUAGAGCUCUGGUCCAUGCGCUUCAAAGCUAAGUAUCUCGAUCUCUAUUUUUGUUUUCAUUUGACUUGCGUUUUUGUUUCGUUCAUUGUUUCUGUUUUGAGGUUUGUUUUCUUGAUUCUAUCUUGAUUCCGUGUAUAUUGUGUUGUUUUCUUCAAUUUUUUAGUUGUCAUAAUUUUUCCUUCAAUGUCUUAAAUAUUAUGCUUACUGUUGCUUAUGAACUGUAUGAUUAAAGGUCUGAAUGAGAUUAAAUCUGAUUGUUCGUUCUUGAAUAUGGAUUUCGGUGUUAGAUCUCCAAGUUUGCUCGUUCUGUGCUUGAGUCUUUACCUUGAAUCUUGUUUUGAUCAUUUUAUUCAGUGAAUCUUUUUGUUUGAGUCAUUUUAAUUUCUAAAUCAAUUUCUGUUAUGUCAAAGUCAUGUUGUUUGUUUUAAUUGUCAAUUAAAAUCGAGUUUAGCUAGUUGUUGCUUGUGAUUUGUGAUUCAUUUGAGUUGCCUACACUGAGUAAGUUCUAUUCACCAUAUAUAAGCUAUGACAUUUGGAUAAAUGAGCUUGGUAGCAGAUUUUAGUGGUAGAGUUAAUGAAUCUCAUGUUUCUUGAAUCUGUUUAAUGAUUGUUGAUACUUUGCUUGGUUUCUACAUAAUCAGUAACAAGUGCAUACCAAGUGAGCAAUGAAAGGCUCGGCCUAGCUCGGUUGCACAUUGAUUAAUCAACAGAAUUGUGAUUUGGCCAGCUACACCGAACUGGUUUUUCUUUAUAGUCUGUGUUAAUGUCUUAAAGUGUGUCAUUCUAUGCUUAGUAUUUGUUCAUUACUAAGUUCAGUUUAUAGUCUCUAUCUUUGAGUCAUUGUUGUUUGUUGUUUUGUUAUUCAAGUUCAUUUUACACAGUUUUGGUUAAUAGUGAAAUUUGAUGCUUCAAAAGCUGUAGUUGCAUAUGACAAUUCUGAUAUACCAGUGAGUUUUCCAAUAGUAAUUCUCAAAUUUUAAGACACUGUCAUGUUCAGAUAUUCGUUUGAUGCUAGAGUCAAAAGUGAUCAAUGAAACUAAUUUUGUGUAUUUCUUUUUAUUAAGUUGAACCAUUAAUCUGAUGCAAGUAAAGUGCUGAUUUGUAAACUGCAUUGAUCUUAGUCUAUUGUAGAUUGUAGCAAGAGCUGUAAGUCAAUCACAUUGGAAGCAAUUAAGGAUUAAUCCUAUUGUUACAAGUUAUAAAAAAAAAGGAGCUGAAGGACUUAGUGCAAUUCACAAUAGCUGCCUCUAAUUCAAAACAUCAAAUAUGAAAAAUAAAACUAGUUUCUCUGAGGCACAAUGUCAAACAGUUCGGUAUCCAAAUUUAUAAAUCAAAUCUGCUGAGUACUGGUUCAACUUAGGUCCUUUUUAUUGUUUUUAAAAUCUGUUCUAGUUCUAUUCCUUAGGAUUCUGUUUAUGUGUGCCAGCUGUUUUAAAUAGCUUGUUUUUAUUUGCUUGUCUUGAUUGCUAAAUUUGGUUUUGUCCAUCAUAUGUGAAAUCUGUCUGCUUUUCAUAAUUGGAUCUUUUCUUUGCUUUAUUCAUAUGAUCUAGAGUUGUCUUAAGCAAAGGUAAUAAGUUUUAAAAAGUGGUGAUACUGAUAAGUUUCAGAUGGAUAUAUAUGCUCGUAAAACUUAUUUUCUUCUUGAACUUGAAGAGUAUUGGCCUUGCUUUCUUCUUUGUGCUGCAGUUAUGGGUUGGUCCUGGAAGUAAGGCAGCUGAAGAGAAAGAUUUUUUUGAUAGUCAUCUUGCUCCAUUCUACCGAAUUGAACAGGUUGAUGGAAUUCGAGCAAAUUAUUCUGGUUCGUUGGUAUCUCUAAGUGACAUUUGCUUGAAGCCUUUAGGCGAAGAUUGUGCCACUCAAAGCAUUUUGCAGUAUUUUCAAAUGGACCCUGACAAUUAUUACGACUAUGGAGGUGUUGACCAUGCUGAGUACUGUUUUCAAGUAAACCUCUAUAAUCUAAUUAUGGGUUACCCUUGUUAUUAAGAAGAUUUUAAUUUAAAGCAGUUUACUUUAUGAGCAGAUAGGAAUUUUAAAGAAAAAGGAUUAAUGUUUUUAAAAGCACUAAAUUCCAAUAAAUAUACUAAUUCAAGUUAAAGUCUUUGUGUGUAGGUAUGGAUGGACUACCACCUUUUAAAUUUUUUUUUCUUCGUAGUGUAGCCUUUUGCAUCAAAUGUAUUCAAUUGAACGUGUAAUGCUGUCUUGUACAAAAUAUCUCGUCGCAUGUGUUUGUAAUGCUGACUUGAAAGUGUUGUUGUGAUUUGUCUAUCUGAUAUAUGUGGGCUCUAAUUAUAUGAUUGUCAU
Long non-coding RNA from Vigna radiata var. radiata (mung bean), 2996 nucleotides. RefSeq lists it as uncharacterized. The record is from RefSeq and is a predicted model, not a curated record. The transcript is spliced from 8 exons. NCBI's taxonomy places the organism in Eukaryota, Viridiplantae, Streptophyta, Magnoliopsida, Fabales, Fabaceae.